Molecule: ribosomal RNA, 474 nt
Filed under: uncultured organism
Description: partial 16S ribosomal RNA
Rfam family: Bacterial small subunit ribosomal RNA
Source: RNAcentral
CACUCCUACGGGAGGCAGCAGUGGGGAAUAUUGCACAAUGGGCGCAAGCCUGAUGCAGCCAUGCCGCGUGUAUGAAGAAGGCCUUCGGGUUGUAAAGUACUUUCAGCGGGGAGGAAGGCAAUACGGUUAAUAACCGUGUUGAUUGACGUUACCCGCAGAAGAAGCACCGGCUAACUCCGUGCCAGCAGCCGCGGUAAUACGGAGGGUGCAAGCGUUAAUCGGAAUUACUGGGCGUAAAGCGCACGCAGGCGGUCUGUCAAGUCGGAUGUGAAAUCCCCGGGCUCAACCUGGGAACUGCAUUCGAAACUGGCAGGCUUGAGUCUUGUAGAGGGGGGUAGAAUUCCAGGUGUAGCGGUGAAAUGCGUAGAGAUCUGGAGGAAUACCGGUGGCGAAGGCGGCCCCCUGGACAAAGACUGACGCUCAGGUGCGAAAGCGUGGGGAGCAAACAGGAUUAGAAACCCGUGUAGUCCCAUG